RNAcentral lists this ribosomal RNA (462 nucleotides) under Medaeus sp. nov. JCYL-2010. Its description in RNAcentral is "partial 16S ribosomal RNA". It matches the Rfam family "Bacterial large subunit ribosomal RNA", at positions 1951 to 2613 of the family's 2925-position model. The record is from RNAcentral. Lineage: Eukaryota; Metazoa; Arthropoda; Malacostraca; Decapoda; Xanthidae.
CAAAGGUAGCAUAAUCAUUAGUUUUUUAAUUGAAAACUAGAAUGAAGGGUUGGACAAAGGAAAAGCUGUCUUUAAACACAAAUAUUGAAAUUUACUUUUAAGUGAAAAGGCUUAAAUAAUUUAAAAAGACGAUAAGACCCUAUGAAGCUUUAUAUAUUAUUUAGAUUUGAUUGAUUAAAAAAAUAAAAAUUAGAAUUAUUUGUUAUGUUUUGUUGGGGAGACAUGAGUAUAAAUUUUGUAACUGCUUAAAAUAAAAACAAUAAUUAAUGUUUUAGGUUAUAAAUGAUCCUCUUUAGAGAUUAAAAGAUCAAGUUACUCUAGGGAUAACAGCGUCAUUUCUUUUGAGAGUUCAUAUCGAAAAAGAAGUUUGCGACCUCGAUGUUGAAUUAAAAUAUCUAUAUAGUGCAGCCGCUAUAAAAGAAGGUCUGUUCGACCUUUAAAUUUUUACAUGAUUUGAGUUCA